UACAGAGGUGGCAAGCGUUGUUCGGAAUUACUGGGCGUAAAGGGCGCGUAGGCGGCCUUCUAAGUCAGACGUGAAAUCCCCAGGCUUAACCUGGGAACUGCGUCCGAUACUGGAUGGCUUGAGUUUGGGAGAGGGAUGCGGAAUUCCAGGUGUAGCGGUGAAAUGCGUAGAUAUCUGGAGGAACACCGGUAGCGAAGGCGGCAUCCUGGACCAACACUGACACUGAGGAGCGAAAGCCAGGGGAGCAAACGGG
This 253-nucleotide ribosomal RNA is filed under the name uncultured bacterium. RNAcentral's name for it is "partial 16S ribosomal RNA". It matches the Rfam family "Bacterial small subunit ribosomal RNA", at positions 524 to 776 of the family's 1533-position model. The record is from RNAcentral.